UUAAACCUCUUUUGGGAGAAAAUGGGUAUAAGUGUUGUCUAAACACUCCUAAUCCUUCUCUAACUCUUAUAAUUAGUCCAAUGCAUUGGAUUGUGACACAUUUUGACCAUAGAAACACUAACAAAUAUAUUUACUGCUUCAAAGCAAAUUUUUGUUGGUUUUAGCCUCUUUUGGGAGAAAAUGGGUAUAAGUGUUGUCUAAACACUCCUAAUCCAUCUCUAACUCGUAUAAUUAGUCAAAUGCUUUGGAUUGUGACACAUUUAGACCAUACAAAGACUAACAAAGCUAUUUACUGCUUCUAAGCAAUUUUUUCUUGGUUUUAGCGUCUUUUGGAAGAAAAUGGCUAUAAGUGUUGUCUAAACACUCCUAACACAUCUUUAACUCUUAUAAUUGGUCAAAUGCAUUGGAUUGUGACACAUAUUUACCAUAAAAACACUAACAAAACUGUUUACUGCUUUUAAGCAAUUUUUUGUUGGUUUUAGCCUCUUUUGGGAGAAAAUGGAUAUAAGUGUUGUCAAAACACCCCUAAUCCAUCUCUAACUCAUAUAAUCAGUUAAAUGUAUUGGAUUGCAAUACAUAUUGACCAUUGAAACACUAACAAAGCUAUUUAGUGUUUGUAAGCAAUAUUUUGUUGGUUGUAGCUUCUUUUGGGAAAAAAUGGGUAUAAGUGUUGUCUAAACACUCCUAAUCCAUCUCUAACUCUUAUAAUUAGUCAAAUGCAUUAGCUUGUGACAUAUUUUGACAAUAGAAACACUAACAAAGCUAUUUACUGUUUCUAAGCAAUUUUUCGUUGGUUUUAGCCUCUUUAUGGAGAAAAUGAGUAUAAGUGUUGUCUACACACUCCUAAUCCAUCUCUAACUCUUAUAACUUGUUAAAUGCUUUGGAUUGUGACACAUUUUGACCAUAGAAACACUCAUAAAGCUAUUUACUGCUUCUAAGCAAUUUUUUGUAGGUAUUAGCCUA
RNAcentral lists this small RNA (963 nucleotides) under Arabidopsis thaliana (thale cress). RNAcentral's name for it is "ATSL035140". The record is from RNAcentral. Lineage: Eukaryota; Viridiplantae; Streptophyta; Magnoliopsida; Brassicales; Brassicaceae.